RNAcentral lists this ribosomal RNA (563 nucleotides) under Lodderomyces parapsilosis. RNAcentral describes it as "Candida parapsilosis partial large subunit ribosomal RNA". It matches the Rfam family "Eukaryotic large subunit ribosomal RNA", at positions 78 to 658 of the family's 3401-position model. The record is from RNAcentral. Lineage: Eukaryota; Fungi; Ascomycota; Pichiomycetes; Serinales; Debaryomycetaceae.
CCUUAGUAGCGGCGAGUGAGCGGCAAAAGCUCAAAUUUGAAAUCUGGCACUUUCAGUGUCCGAGUUGUAAUUUGAAGAAGGUAUCUUUGGGUCUGGCUCUUGUCUAUGUUUCUUGGAACAGAACGUCACAGAGGGUGAGAAUCCCGUGCGAUGAGAUGUCCCAGACCUAUGUAAAGUUCCUUCGAAGAGUCGAGUUGUUUGGGAAUGCAGCUCUAAGUGGGUGGUAAAUUCCAUCUAAAGCUAAAUAUUGGCGAGAGACCGAUAGCGAACAAGUACAGUGAUGGAAAGAUGAAAAGAACUUUGAAAAGAGAGUGAAAAAGUACGUGAAAUUGUUGAAAGGGAAGGGCUUGAGAUCAGACUUGGUAUUUUGUAUGUUACUCUCUCGGGGGUGGCCUCUACAGUUUACCGGGCCAGCAUCAGUUUGAGCGGUAGGAUAAGUGCAAAGAAAUGUGGCACUGCUUCGGUAGUGUGUUAUAGUCUUUGUCGAUACUGCCAGCUUAGACUGAGGACUGCGGCUUCGGCCUAGGAUGUUGGCAUAAUGAUCUUAAGUCGCCCGUCUUGAA